GAAGCCUGAUCCAGCCAUGCCGCGUGUGUGAAGAAGGCCUUCGGGUUGUAAAGCACUUUCAGUGAGGAAGAAAGCCUUGAGGUUAAUACCCUCGAGGGAGGACAUCACUCACAGAAGAAGCACCGGCUAACUCCGUGCCAGCAGCCGCGGUAAU
Molecule: ribosomal RNA, 154 nt
Filed under: Halomonas sp.
Lineage: Bacteria; Pseudomonadati; Pseudomonadota; Gammaproteobacteria; Oceanospirillales; Halomonadaceae
Description: partial 16S ribosomal RNA
Rfam family: Bacterial small subunit ribosomal RNA
Source: RNAcentral